GGAGGGAGGUAGCGGCUUCCGGGCUUGCUUGGGCUGGGGCGUAUACUAGCUAGAGGGAUUCCUGAGCCAGCUGUUUUGUCUGUGAGUGCCACCCGGAGCAUUCGGGGAAGCAUCCAUUCCUUGGUACAGGGCUCAAAUUCUCGUUGCCGGUCUUUCGUACACGAUUAGUGGACUGUUAGUUUUACACUUCUUUUGUAAGGUUCAAAGCCUUUUUAAGACCACUCAUGGCCGACCCAUGCAUGGACCAGAACGGCUCUAGGUGGCAAGCUCCCUGACUAAGUACUGCAGCUCUUCUUCCAAUAUCGAGCCCUGUCCCACUGGUCCUGCCCAGCAGCCACAUGGAGGUGAACAAGGACAUAGUCUGGAUAUUUGUUCAUUGAAACACUAGAAGUUUUGUGCCUCUUGUCACAGUGAACCCAGAUUCCUGUCUGGUGGGCUAUAAACAGAUGAGCCAUUUAUUUAGGCCCUCUGCUCUACGUGCAACCCAAUCCGUGACAAAUUCUUACCAAGUGACCUCUCAAGCCUACGAAACUGUCCCUCUGGAACUAUUAUAGACCCUCAAAUUAUAACCUAGUUCCAGCAGGAAAAUAAGCCCUGGUUGGUGCACCCCUCUGUCUGCACCAAUGCCACUUUUUGGUCUUUUAAAUGUUUGCCCCUUGGAUUGGAGGAUGGGGUGGGAAGUAUAUGGUUGUUUACCAGUUGUUCAUUAUAUAUGUUAAGCAGACUUUC
This is a long non-coding RNA of Bubalus bubalis (water buffalo), 729 nucleotides long. RefSeq lists it as uncharacterized. Lineage: Eukaryota; Metazoa; Chordata; Mammalia; Artiodactyla; Bovidae. The transcript is spliced from 2 exons. The record is from RefSeq and is a predicted model, not a curated record.